UACGUAGGGUGCAAGCGUUAAUCGGAAUUACUGGGCGUAAAGCGUGCGCAGGCGGCUUUGCAAGACAGAUGUGAAAUCCCCGGGCUUAACCUGGGAACUGCAUUUGUGACUGUAUGGCUGGAGUGCGGCAGAGGGGGAUGGAAUUCCGCGUGUAGCAGUGAAAUGCGUAGAUAUGCGGAGGAACACCGAUGGCGAAGGCAAUCCCCUGGGCCUGCACUGACGCUCAUGCACGAAAGCGUGGGGAGCAAACAGG
RNAcentral lists this ribosomal RNA (253 nucleotides) under uncultured bacterium. Its description in RNAcentral is "partial 16S ribosomal RNA". It matches the Rfam family "Bacterial small subunit ribosomal RNA", at positions 524 to 776 of the family's 1533-position model. The record is from RNAcentral.